Molecule: non-coding RNA, 628 nt
Organism: Rattus norvegicus (Norway rat)
Lineage: Eukaryota; Metazoa; Chordata; Mammalia; Rodentia; Muridae
Source: RefSeq, a predicted model, not a curated record
AGCCUGGCAAUAGGAGGAGGACAGGACGGCCCCGUCGUACAGAAGACCGCCCCAUACCUCUCAUAAACUUUAUUAUCUCCCAUCUAUUGAUCCCUCUCGCCCCUCUUCUCUCUGUUCCCUGUGUCCCCAGAGAAAUGCACCUAGCUUUCAGGCUAGCUCCGCCUGAUGGAUAACCCAGAGUUCGAGGAAGGCGACCCCGGCUCGACUCGGCAGAAAACAGGAGGAAAAAAGGCUCCACUCUUGCCACCUCAAAAAUCACCACCACAAGCCUCCUUUGCACACUUCCCUAAUCACCUGCAGAAGAGGAUCUGAGAUGUCAGCUCAGGAGCAGAGCCCCUGGGUCCGUGGCAUGGAGGGGCUUGACUCAGCAGCCCACCGAGGGCUGUUCCACCACCCUCGCCAGCUUCCUUCCCACCUUCAAAUAUAUAUAGGAGGUCCCGGCUGUCCUGGAGCUCACAGAGACCUGCCGUCUCCACAGUGCUGGGAUCAAAGCCUACAGGGUCCAAUCACUGCAUUCCACAUACUCCUGAGUGUGGAGCCAUCUGGUGGAGCAUCAGCAGCUUACAAGGGACAGCAUUUAAAGAGAAUGGACCCUUCUCCUCUAGCAGACAUGAACUAUGAAUACAUC